GAUGAAGAACGCAGCGAAAUGCGAUACGUAAUGUGAAUUGCAGAAUUCAGUGAAUCAUCGAGUCUUUGAACGCACAUUGCGCCCCCUGGUAUUCCGGGGGGCAUGCCUGUCCGAGCGUCAUUGCUGCCCUCAAGCACGGCUUGUGUGUUGGGCCUCCGUCCUCCUCCCGGGGGAGGGGCCCGAAAGGCAGCGGCGGCACCGCGUCCGGUCCUCGAGCGUAUGGGGCUUCGUCACCCGCUCUUGUAGGCCCGGCCGGCGCUUGCCGACACAUCAAUCUUUUUUCCAGGUUGACCUCGGAUCAGGUAGGGAUACCCGCUGAACUUAAGCAUAUCAAUAAGCGGAGGA
This 345-nucleotide unclassified non-coding RNA is filed under the name soil metagenome. RNAcentral describes it as "partial contains 5.8S ribosomal RNA, internal transcribed spacer 2, and large subunit ribosomal RNA". The stretch from base 1 to 120 matches the Rfam family "5.8S ribosomal RNA", at positions 35 to 154 of the family's 154-position model. The record is from RNAcentral.